GGGGGUAUAGCUCAGUGGUAGAGCGCAUGCGGGCUUAGCGUGCACGAGGCAAUGGGUUCAUUCCCCAGUACCUCCA
Molecule: transfer RNA, 76 nt
Filed under: Camelus bactrianus (Bactrian camel)
Lineage: Eukaryota; Metazoa; Chordata; Mammalia; Artiodactyla; Camelidae
Also listed under: 2 other names
Rfam family: tRNA
About the family: Transfer RNA (tRNA) molecules are approximately 80 nucleotides in length. Their secondary structure includes four short double-helical elements and three loops (D, anti-codon, and T loops).
Source: Rfam by way of RNAcentral